Molecule: transfer RNA, 75 nt
Filed under: Alphaproteobacteria bacterium 64-11
Lineage: Bacteria; Pseudomonadati; Pseudomonadota; Alphaproteobacteria
Also listed under: 3 other names
Description: tRNA-Val
Rfam family: tRNA
About the family: Transfer RNA (tRNA) molecules are approximately 80 nucleotides in length.
Source: RNAcentral
GGGCGCGUAGCUCAGCGGGAGAGCACUCCCUUCACACGGGAGGGGUCAUAGGUUCAAUCCCUAUCGCGCCCACCA